RNAcentral lists this ribosomal RNA (1523 nucleotides) under soil metagenome. Its description in RNAcentral is "bacterial LSU rRNA". It matches the Rfam family "Bacterial large subunit ribosomal RNA", at positions 1128 to 2649 of the family's 2925-position model. The record is from RNAcentral.
GAAAGCGUAAUAGCUCACUGAUCGAGUCGUCCUGCGCGGAAGAUGUAACGGGGCUAAGCCAGUUACCGAAGCUGCGGAUGUGCGCGCAAGCGUACGUGGUAGGAGAGCGUUCCGUAAGCCUGUGAAGGUGGGUCGUGAGGCCUGCUGGAGGUAUCGGAAGUGCGAAUGCUGACAUGAGUAGCGUUAAAGGGGGUGAAAAGCCCCCUCGCCGAAAGCGCAAGGUUUCCUACGCAACGUUCAUCGGCGUAGGGUGAGUCGGCCCCUAAGGCGAGGCAGAGAUGCGUAGCUGAUGGGAAACAGGUCAAUAUUCCUGUACCGAUCUAUAGUGCGAUGUGGGGACGGAGAAGGUUAACUCAGCCGGGUGUUGGAUGUCCCGGUUCAAGCCUGUAGUCAUGCCUGGUAGGCAAAUCCGCCGGGCUUAGAUGAGGGGUGAUAACGAGUCUGCUUGCAGACGAAGUGAGUGAUACCCUGCUUCCAGGAAAAGCCACUAAGCUUCAGCUAUAGACGACCGUACCGCAAACCGACACUGGUGCGCGAGAUGAGUAUUCUAAGGCGCUUGAGAGAACUCUGGAGAAGGAACUCGGCAAAUUGACACCGUAACUUCGGAAGAAGGUGUGCCUUUAGUAGGUGAAGUCCCUCGCGGAUGGAGCCCAAUGAGGUUGCAAAGAAUCGGUGGCUGCGACUGUUUAAUAAAAACACAGCACUCUGCAAAGACGAAAGUCGACGUAUAGGGUGUGACGCCUGCCCGGUGCUGGAAGAUUAAAUGAUGGGGUGCAAGCUCUUGAUUGAAGUCCCAGUAAACGGCGGCCGUAACUAUAACGGUCCUAAGGUAGCGAAAUUCCUUGUCGGGUAAGUUCCGACCUGCACGAAUGGCGUAACGAUGGCCACACUGUCUCCACCCGAGACUCAGCGAAGUUGAAAUGUUUGUGAAGAUGCAAUCUACCCGAGGCUAGACGGAAAGACCCCAUGCACCUUUACUGUAGCUUUGCAUUGGACUUUGAACAGAUCUGUGUAGGAUAGGUGGGAGGCUUUGAAGCAGGAACGCCAGUUCUUGUGGAGCCAACCUUGAAAUACCACCCUGAUGUGUUUGAGGUUCUAACCUAGGUCCGUAAUCCGGAUCGGGGACAUUGCAUGGUAGGCAGUUUGACUGGGGCGGUCUCCUCCCAAAGUGUAACGGAGGAGUACGAAGGUACGCUAGGUACGGUCGGACAUCGUACUGAUAGUGCAAUGGCAUAAGCGUGCUUGACUGCGAGACUGACAAGUCGAGCAGGUGCGAAAGCAGGUCAUAGUGAUCCGGUGGUUCUGUAUGGAAGGGCCAUCGCUCAACGGAUAAAAGGUACGCCGGGGAUAACAGGCUGAUACCGCCCAAGAGUUCAUAUCGACGGCGGUGUUUGGCACCUCGAUGUCGGCUCAUCUCAUCCUGGGGCUGUAGCCGGUCCCAAGGGUAUGGCUGUUCGCCAUUUAAAGAGGUACGUGAGCUGGGUUUAAAACGUCGUGAGACAGUUUGGUCCCUAUCUGCCGUG